UGUGGCUAGGGUUUUCCUCAAAGACUCCAGUGAGUAACCUUGAGGAAGAUCAAGCUAUUAGGCACAUAGAUUGAAAACUUAAAAAGAAAGGACAUAAAGAAGAGUAAGAGAGGAAGAAAAGAAAAGAAAGGUUUUUAUUGUUAAGAUUGGACGUUGAAUCUUUCGAGAAUCGUGAAGCUUCAUCCUUAGAUCGACCAUAUCGUAUGCAAUCCUCAAAUCUGAGGGUUAGGUUGAAGUCCGUGGUUGCUACUUGAAUAUCAGAAGAGUAGCUUCAGACCAGAAGCGACUAUUUUAGUAGUGGUAGAAUUAGUUUGAUGUACUUAAGAAUCAUAGCAUGUAUAAUUAUUACAUUUUUGGAGAUUAUGUUAUUUGAAUUAUAACUUAAGCAUGUAAUGAUAAAUUAGUUUGGUGUA
Molecule: non-coding RNA, 413 nt
Organism: Jatropha curcas
Lineage: Eukaryota; Viridiplantae; Streptophyta; Magnoliopsida; Malpighiales; Euphorbiaceae
Source: RefSeq, a predicted model, not a curated record